Molecule: long non-coding RNA, 2265 nt
Filed under: Gallus gallus (chicken)
Lineage: Eukaryota; Metazoa; Chordata; Aves; Galliformes; Phasianidae
Description: lncRNA (ENSGALG00010026879.1)
Source: RNAcentral
GAAGGUAACCUUGCACUCCACAUAGCACUACUGCAAAGGAAUGCAAAUCCCAGCGCUAUUCUGAGUGUUUCUCUUUGCACAGAGGAAGGAGAAUUGGUCCACCUUAAGUCCUUCUGAAAGGCUGAGGCUCAAAGGAGAGUUACCUCAACCUUCUAUGGCAGCUGGCUUUUAGAGUGUGUGGGACCUCCUCCUGUCCAGCUCUUCACAGUGACAGCGUUCUGGCGUCAUUUCUUGCCACAAAGCCCCAUCCCUUCUCUUCUGAGACCUGCAUGCAGUUCACACCUAACAAGACAUCCUUUCCCUGGGACUAAAUCUCUUGAAAUCUGAUCCACGAACACAUCUAAACAGUCGCGCUAACAGGUAACUCAGAGAUAUGGAAAUGUAAAUGAUUCUCCAAUCAAUAAAGAUAAUUACGGUGAGAGAUAGACUGACAUGCAGUAUCUCGAGGCUUUUCGCCUUGUCUCCCGAGCUCCCCAGCGGCACCACACACACUGGUGAAUGUAUUUCCAAGGCUGUGACUGUGGCUGGGGAGAAUUGUUUCCUGCAAGAGGAGCACGAGUGACACUGCCCCGCUAACGAUGCGCGCUGCAGCUGGAGCCAAACUUCCCCAGCAUGACUCUGCUCUCUUCCUCCCUUUUAAAAGGCGACGUUAAUGUUGUCCUAUUAGCCUUGGGUUUCAGCAGACUGAACACGAACUGCUGUCAACUUCUGCACAAGUUGGAAGGAGAGAGGUUCAUCUCAUUUUUCCCCUCGGGUUGUUAGCUGUCAACAAACACCUUGUCUGCACACCUCUGGAAGGGCUGAUGGGGCAGAUCCCCACCAUUGAGUACUGAAGAUUUCCCAAGGAUUUGUGUACUUCCCAAUGUGGCCAGCUGCUAGGAUGUGUGUACAACCGUGCAGAAAAGCCUCUGAUGGGAACAGUGGAGAGUUACCAAACCCCAACACCUUUGAAUCCUGAGUGUCUUGAGCUGCACAGCCCCUCCUGCCCCUUCUGCCUGCACCCCCAUCUCCCCACGAGCUCAGCAGCCUUCCAGCUCAACCUGUGCUUGUGGCUCCUGGCAUCCUUUGUGAAGAAAACCUCAUCUCCUGUCCAGCAUUUGGCUGGAUGGUCUUCACGGGUUAGAGGAACUUUUAAACAUUCUCAACAAAGUUCAUGUUGAUUGAACUGGUGAAAUAAUUCCUGGUGCAAGCUCUAAGAAGGACCUUUUAAACUUCCGUGCUUGAAGCUCUGUCCAUCGCACGAGGCACGACAGACACUUGCAAGGUCAUCUCCCUGUCUGCAUUCAGCUCCUUUAACAGACACGUCUGACAGCUUUGAUGCAACCCAAAACCCAGCGCCUAUCUUCCUCUAUGGCAUUAGUUUAAAUAUAUGUAUGUAUCUAUAGAUAUACUUGGAGAGGAAUGAAGCUGUGACUAUGGUGGCUAAGGUCAUGCCGUUCAGGGUGGCUGAGGUCACACCAUCUGACACAUGUCAGAUGAAAGCUCAGGCAAGAAUAUUCAGUGACCGCUCCGUGCAGUUUUUCAUCCAUGUGCAGAGGGAAUAGCCACUCUCAGCAGCACCGGUCCAGGCCUCCCUGCCGGCGGGUCAGGGCAACGUGUGUUUCAAGUCAUACAUGGAAUAUCUAUUCACCUUUAACAAAUGCAGCGCGCAUGAAAGUGCCCGACUUUGCUCUCCCUUUCUUCCUGCUCACGGUUGGAUAUAAUGGAGGAAGAGAGGAGAUUGCUUCUACCCAUCCACGUUCUCCAUAUGGGAUGAGGGGUGCUCCCGAGGCUCGCUUGCCCUGAGCACAGACCUUGCUGUACUGGGCCGGCCUCUGCUUCGCAGGUGCUGGGGUCAUCCUUGGUGAUGCGCCGGGUGCUGAGCAGCGUGGUCCUGUCUUGCUCCCGGCUGCAGCACGGUCACUGCUCCGAUGUGCUCAUAGCACCACGAUAGCAACUGAUGGCACUGAGCCGCACCGCCGUGCGCACCAGGCUUGCACUAUUUCUGACUGCAAAGUACAGAUGGCUCCGGGGUGGCUUUUCUUGGCACCUCCCUGCGAAACCUAGAGAGGGCAUCUGCUGAGCACAACUGCUCCGACAGAGCCGAUUCCUCGCCCUCUCCCCCCGGGUGCUCCCAUCUGGAUAGCCCGCUGACCUCCCGUGCUGCGCCGCGCCGGGUUAAACUCGCUCGCUUUAGUUAUGUACUUCCAACAGCUUCAGGCAACAAAUGUAUUUCAUGCGCGGUCCUCCUGUACCUCUCCUUGAUGUUCUAAAGCAAUGAGAAAG